GUGUGAUUGUUGAGGCGAUAAAAGUUGACAGCUUGCAGAAGCUCUGCUCCUCUCUGGAACCUAUCCUCCGCAGAGUUGUGAGUGAGGAAGUGGAACGUGCUUUGGCUAAGUUCAUCACGUCUAGGCUAUGGUCAAAAUAUAUAGUGCCUCUUCAGAGAAAAUAAUACGGAAGUCUGAGAAACUCUUAAGAGAGAAAAGAAGUGAAGGUACACAUCCAAUUUGGAUCUUGAAGAAGAAUUCUAGCUCUCUCCGGUGAUAUGUGUGGGGGUACAGGAAAAUGUAAACUGUUACGGUGGAAGGUUUGCUUGGUCAGUUUAGGUACAGGUUUACCAAACAACAAAGGACUCAUUAGAAGGCCUGGUGCAGUGAGCUACUCGACACAAUGUACAAUGGUCGUCUUAUUCCCAAUUCUUGAGCCAGUAUAUAGUACAUGUCCUCAUUUCAUCUCCACAUAAGAUAAUUGGUCUGUUUUGACUGGGAAAAAUGAACUACUUAUUCUCUCAGCACAGUGGCAAUAGUUAUGAUUAUAGAAGAGGAAGAAAAGUAAUACAUCAUCGAUGCAUGGGAAGCUAUAUAGGAGAAUGAAAUGCUAGAACAUGUUUUUGUAAUGGUUCUAGCUCUGUGUUGUUAAUUCUUUAUAAACCUAAUAGCUUUCUUCUUCUUUAGAGUCUUGACAACGAUACAAACAUCAGGCGUAUGUUGGCCUCUUGAACGUUCUCAAUUCUAUAUUUUUCACUUUUGAUAUGGGUGACUGAAACUUUUCUUUCGA
Long non-coding RNA from Raphanus sativus (radish), 769 nucleotides. RefSeq lists it as uncharacterized. Lineage: Eukaryota; Viridiplantae; Streptophyta; Magnoliopsida; Brassicales; Brassicaceae. The record is from RefSeq and is a predicted model, not a curated record. The transcript is spliced from 4 exons.